UGGGGAAUAUUGCACAAUGGGCGCAAGCCUGAUGCAGCAACGCCGCGUGAACGAUGAAGGUCUUCGGAUCGUAAAGUUCUGUUGCAGGGGAAGAUAAUGACGGUAUCAUAGGAGGAAGCCCCGGCUAAAUACGUGCCAGCAGCCGCGGUAAUACGUAUGGGGCGAGCGUUGUCCGGAAUUAUUGGGCGUAAAGGGUACGUAGGCGGUCUAUUAAGUCAGGUGUGAAAGCGUGAGGCUUAACCUCAUUAAGCACUUGAAACUGAUAGACUUGAGUGAAGGAGAGGAAAGUGGAAUUCCUGGUGUAGCGGUGAAAUGCGUAGAUAUUAGGAGGAAUACCGGUGGCGAAGGCGACUUUCUGGACUUUUACUGACGCUCAGGUACGAAAGCGUGGGGAGCAAACAGG
Molecule: ribosomal RNA, 403 nt
Filed under: Verrucomicrobiota bacterium
Lineage: Bacteria; Pseudomonadati; Verrucomicrobiota
Description: Verrucomicrobia bacterium partial 16S ribosomal RNA
Rfam family: Bacterial small subunit ribosomal RNA
Source: RNAcentral